UACGUAGGGGGCAAGCGUUGUCCGGAUUUAUUGGGCGUAAAGAGCGUGUAGGCUGGUUCGGUAGGUCCGUUGUGAAACUCGAGCUCAACCCUCGAGCACGCCGAUGGAAACCCCCGGAACGUAGAGUCCGGAAGAGGAGAGUGGGAAGUUCCUGAGUGUAGGCGGUGAAAAUGCGCAGAUAUCAGGAAGAACACCCGUGGCUAAGGCGGCUCCUCUAGUACGGUACUGACGCUGAGGCGACGAAAGCGUUGGGGGAGCAAACAGG
This 265-nucleotide ribosomal RNA is filed under the name uncultured bacterium. Its description in RNAcentral is "partial 16S ribosomal RNA". It matches the Rfam family "Bacterial small subunit ribosomal RNA", at positions 524 to 776 of the family's 1533-position model. The record is from RNAcentral.